AUACAUGCAAGUCGAGCGAGGCAGCAAUGCCGAGCGGCGAACGGGUGAGUAACGCGUAAGCAAUCUGCCCCAUAUCAGGAAAUAACCCGUGCCAACGCGCGGUUAAUGUCCAGGAGAGUGGCCCUCUGCAUGGAGGGUUGACUAGAGAUUUAUCGGUAUGGGAUGAGCUUGCGUCCGAUUAGCUAGUGGCGGGGCAACGGCCCACCAAGGCGACGAUCGGUAGCCGGCCUGAGAGGGUGAUCGGCCACAUUGGGACUGAGAUACGGCCCAGACUCCUACGGGAGGCAGCAGUAGGGAAUAUUGCACAAUGGGGGAAACCCUGAUGCAGCAACGCCACGUGUGGGAAGAAGCAUUUCGGUGUGUAAACCACUGUCAUGAGGGAAUAAGGCCCUUAUUCGUAAGGGACUUGAAUGUACCUUGAGAGGAAGCACCGGCAAACUUCGUGCCAGCCGCCGC
This 456-nucleotide ribosomal RNA is filed under the name uncultured bacterium. RNAcentral's name for it is "bacterial SSU rRNA". It matches the Rfam family "Bacterial small subunit ribosomal RNA", at positions 51 to 518 of the family's 1533-position model. The record is from RNAcentral.